AUGAAGAUAAUCCAUGAAGCUAUUGACAUGAUACGAGAGUUGCUGAAGUUUAUUGACUCUUCUCCUUCAAGACUUCAAGAUUUCAAUACAAUUGCAAGUGGGAUGGGUCUACCUUCAAAGAAAGGUAUCUCUGUUGAUACACCAACCAGAUGGAACUCAACAUGGAAAAUGCUUGUAGAAGCAUUGAUAUACAAAUUUGUCCUCACUAGUUAUGCCACUCGAAAGAUGAUAGAAUCUCCAAGUGAGCAAGAAUGGGAAAGGGCAGCAACUAUUUGUGAGUUUCUAAAAGCUUUUGAAGAGCUUACCUUAAUUGUUUCAGCUCAUAGGAAGCCAACUUCACAUAAGUUUCUGCCGGUUGUGCUUUGUAUUUGCCAUGCAUUAAAAGAUCCAGGUUGGCAAACCUCUGAUGUGUUGAAGGAAUUGGCGGCAGCGAUGCAAACAAAGCUCGAUAAAUAUUGGGAUCCCGAGGAGAAGGAGAAUGCAGAUCCUAACCGUCGUAGAAAAAGCAAGGGCAUUGAGUUUAACCACUCACUUGUCAUUGCUACAUUCCUAGAUCCAAGGAGGAAAGAAGAUUAUUUGGAUUUCUUCUAUUGCAAGUUGUCUACCAACGAGGAGCAGGUUUCAAAACAAGUGGAGAUUGCUUUAGAAUGGGUGAGAAAGUAUGUCAAGGAAUAUGAGCUACUUGCAGUGACAAGCACUGCACACUCGACACCUUGUAGUCAAGGCAAUAGCACUAUUGGAUCACCUAUUGCAGGGAAAAGAAAGCUGGAAGAAGAGUUUGCCCAACACAAGUCUCGUCAGAGGUCACGUGUACACAAAUCAGAACUUGACACAUACUUGGAAGAAGCAAGGGAGCAGGAUUGUGCUGACUUUGAUGUCUUGGGUUGGUGGAAGAGGCAUGCUGAAAAGUUUCCUAUAUUGGCAUCAAUGGCUCGUGACUUUCUUGCAAUUCCUUUGAGCACAGUGGCAUCCGAAUCAGCCUUCAAUUGUGGUAAGAGGAUACUUGGCGACAUGAGAAGUUCUUUGACCCCUGAUAUGCUAGAAGCGCUUGUUUGUGCUAAAGAUUGGUUGUUCAAACCAAAGGAGGGAGAUGGACAGUAA
This 1101-nucleotide ribosomal RNA is filed under the name Triticum aestivum (bread wheat). RNAcentral describes it as "partial small subunit ribosomal RNA". Lineage: Eukaryota; Viridiplantae; Streptophyta; Magnoliopsida; Poales; Poaceae. The record is from RNAcentral.